GACGAACGCUGGCGGCGUGCCUAAUACAUGCAAGUCGAGCGAGCUUGCCUAGAUGAAUUUGGUUCUUGCACCAGAUGACACUAGAUACAAGCGAGCGGCGGACGGGUGAGUAACACGUGGGUAACCUGCCCAAGAGACUGGGAUAACACCUGGAAACAGAUGCUAAUACCGGAUAACAACACUAGACGCAUGUCUAGAGUUUAAAAGAUGGUUCUGCUAUCACUCUUGGAUGGACCUGCGGUGCAUUAGCUAGUUGGUAAGGCAACGGCUUACCAAGGCAAGGAUGCAUAGCCGAGUUGUGAGACUGAUCGGCCACAUUGGGACUGAGACACGGCCCAAACGCCUACGGGAGGCAGCAGUAGGGAAUCUUCCACAAUGGACGCAAGUCUGAUGGAGCAACGCCGCGUGAGUGAAGAAGGGUUUCGGCUCGUAAAGCUCUGUUGGUAGUGAAGAAAGAUAGAGGUAGUAAAUGGCCUGUAUUUGACGGUAAUUACUUAGAAAGUAACGGCUAACUACGUG
RNAcentral lists this ribosomal RNA (519 nucleotides) under uncultured bacterium. Its description in RNAcentral is "partial 16S ribosomal RNA". It matches the Rfam family "Bacterial small subunit ribosomal RNA", at positions 28 to 507 of the family's 1533-position model. The record is from RNAcentral.